CAGGCUUAACACAUGCAAGUCGAGGGGCAGCAUUUUAUUUUGCUUGCAAACUGAAGAUGGCGACCGGCGCACGGGUGAGUAACACGUAUCCAACCUGCCGAUAACUCCGGAAUAGCCUUUCGAAAGAAAGAUUAAUACCGGAUAGUAUACGAAUAUCGCAUGAUAUUUUUAUUAAAGAAUUUCGGUUAUCGAUGGGGAUGCGUUCCAUUAGUUUGUUGGCGGGGUAACGGCCCACCAAGACUACGAUGGAUAGGGGUUCUGAGAGGAAGGUCCCCCACAUUGGAACUGAGACACGGUCCAAACUCCUACGGGAGGCAGCAGUGAGGAAUAUUGGUCAAUGGGCGAGAGCCUGAACCAGCCAAGUAGCGUGAAGGAUGAAGGCUCUAUGGGUCGUAAACUUCUUUUAUAUGGGAAUAAAGUUUUCCACGUGUGGAAUUUUGUAUGUACCAUAUGAAUAAGGAUCGGCUAACUCCGUGCCAGCAGCCGCGGCAAUACGGAGGAUCCGAGCGUUAUCCGGAUUUAUUGGGUUUAAAGGGAGCGUAGGUGGAUUGUUAAGUCAGUUGUGAAAGUUUGCGGCUCAACCGUAAAAUUGCAGUUGAAACUGGGAGUCUUGAGUACAGUAGAGGUGGGCGGAAUUCGUGGUGUAGCGGUGAAAUGCUUAGAUAUCACGGAGAACUCCGAUUGCGAAGGCAGCUCACUAGACUGUCACUGACACUGAUGCUCGAAAGUGUGGGUAUCAAACAGGAUUAGAUACCCUGGUAGUCCACACAGUAAACGAUGAAUACUCGCUGUUUGCGAUAUACAGUAAGCGGCCAAGCGAAAGCAUUAAGUAUUCCACCUGGGGAGUACGCCGGCAACGGUGAAACUCAAAGGAAUUGACGGGGGCCCGCACAAGCGGAGGAACAUGUGGUUUAAUUCGAUGAUACGCGAGGAACCUUACCCGGGCUUAAAUUGCAACAGAAUAUAUUGGAAACAGUAUAGCCGUAAGGCUGUUGUGAAGGUGCUGCAUGGUUGUCGUCAGCUCGUGCCGUGAGGUGUCGGCUUAAGUGCCAUAACGAGCGCAACCCUUAUCUUUAGUUACUAACAGGUCAUGCUGAGGACUCUAGAGAGACUGCCGUCGUAAGAUGUGAGGAAGGUGGGGAUGACGUCAAAUCAGCACGGCCCUUACGUCCGGGGCUACACACGUGUUACAAUGGGGGGUACAGAAGGCGGCUACCUGGUGACAGGAUGCUAAUCCCAAAAACCUCUCUCAGUUCGGAUCGAAGUCUGCAACCCGACUUCGUGAAGCUGGAUUCGCUAGUAAUCGCGCAUCAGCCAUGGCGCGGUGAAUACGUUCCCGGGCCUUGUACACACCGCCCGUCAAGCCAUGAAAGCCGGGGGUACCUGAAGUACGUAACCACAAGGAGCGUCCUAGGGUAAAACUGGUAAUUG
RNAcentral lists this ribosomal RNA (1431 nucleotides) under uncultured organism. RNAcentral's name for it is "16S ribosomal RNA". It matches the Rfam family "Bacterial small subunit ribosomal RNA". The record is from RNAcentral.